CUCUCUCUCCCGUAGACUCUCUUCUCCCUCUUUUUCUCUCAAACCCUAAAAUUUCGCCGCCGACAACAACAAAGUUUCACCAUGGAAAAGAUGCACGGCUAUGAAAAUCAAGGAUUUGGAAAAACUAUGAAAAUGAAAACGAUGCACGGCUAUGAAAAGUUAGGGUUUCUGUUAACAAUGGGUUUAAUCAAGAGAAGGGGCACGAUUCAUUCACUCUAUUUCUCUUUCAUUUGUAUAACUCUUUUUAUAGCUCACAUGUGUUUGAGUUUAUUAUGAUGUUGUGGUCUGAUUUCCUAUGUGCAGGUUCAAGCAUCCCACAAUUUCGAUCUGAUUAGGGCUACUGUUUUUUCUUGAUACUUCUCAUCAGUAUUUUCAAUAACUUAUGUUUUUUCUUGAAGAAAAUGCCUCUGUUUACUUAUAUCUUCUUUUUGUUUAAAUAUCCAUAACUUUUUCCUCAUUUCAUUGUUAAGGAGUUACAACUAUCACUCUACAAUUUUUCAUAGCUUUAGUGUUUCUCAGUCUGAUAAGCUUCUCAUCCCUAAUUUUCAGCCUUUGAUUCAACCGCGGAUUCAUUUUCUUCCAACAAACCGUCAAAUCUUGCUGCACUAAUCAAGCAAAAGUUUUCCAAUUUCAGUCCUGCAACCAUUACAGCCAAUAAUGGCUCACGGUCGUAUCCCUCUCCAGACCAAAACAAAUCGCCAGCAACUCCAUUUGACAUGGGAAGCGGUUUUGUAAACGCUACCGCAUCAUGAAACUUGGGAUUGCUUUUUGAUUCAAAUAAGCCACUUAAUGAACUUCUAAAUCUUUUUAUUAUAUUUAGAAUGUCUAUAAGCUUAUUUGAACUGUGUAUAUGGCAUGUAUUUCUUUGUAGGUUAUGAUGAUUACAUGUCUUUUUUAUGCAGGAAUGGUCUUUUGUCUAUCUAUUAGAACAAAUAAUAUUUUAUUGUUUUAACUUUCAACAGUACAAUAUAUGAAUAUGAAGAUUUUCUUUUGUCCUUCAUUCAAAUAACUUGAUAUUUAUGGAAGAUCAUGCAACAGUCAAGCUAGCAGAUUUUGGUUUAGCGAGAGAAGAGUCUUUAACUGAGAUGAUGACAGCUGAAACGGAAACAUACCAUUGGAUGGCUCUAGAGGGUGAGAGCUGAAGUCUAAAAAGAAUUUCAGAGUUUGGUUAUUUAAGAGGGAAAUGAUUGAAUGUUAUAGAAAAGAAAAAGAAGCCAGAAGUGCAGCUGAGCAGAAGGCCAUUGCAACUGAGGACCUGUACAAGCGAUCACAAGAGUGUAAUAUCAGUUUGCUAUAGUAUAAUAGUCAGCUUCAGUAAAUUCUAAAAGCAGUUAACGAGGAAAAUAAACGACUGGAAAUAGAGAAAUCAAGUAUUGUUGAGAACCUUAGCAGUGUAAGAGGCCACAAUAAGGUAUUGCACGAGCAACUAACAUCUCUACAAAUAAGUUAUUUAUUGUUGAUUAAUAUCAUCAGGCCUAUCAUUUAUGAUGUCUAUUGUCUGCCGAUAACCCGAAGUGUUUUAAAUUACGUGAUGUGAAGUUCCUGUUGUGGACAAAUAGAUAUGUUGCAGCAACUGAAAAAGACAAGUUGAAGGGUGGAGUUUGAUCUGUGUCUGUAGCUAAUUGCAGGCCAUAACAAAAUGAAUGUAAAUAGGCUGCACGAGCUACACUAAGCAAUAAAAUCUGGAGGUACACACACUGUUUGGAGUCUCUCAAGCAUUAAUGAAGAACUAAUGAGUUUGCAUUUGGUGCAGAACCUCAUUUUGAGAAUAAUGAGUUUAAAAGAUGAUUCAAAUCAAUGUUAAUUGGAAAUGGAGACAAUUUUUCUUAUGUAUUCCGAGCAAAACAUGCGGAUCAUACCUCAUAAACAUGUAUGAAUUUGUUUUAAGAGCUGUGGCCAUACAGAACUAAGAAGAAUCUAAGAACAUACCUCAUAAACAUUUGUGAAUUUUAAUAGUAAUUAUAAUUCUGUUU
Long non-coding RNA from Vicia villosa (hairy vetch), 1973 nucleotides. RefSeq lists it as uncharacterized. The record is from RefSeq and is a predicted model, not a curated record. The transcript is spliced from 5 exons. Lineage: Eukaryota; Viridiplantae; Streptophyta; Magnoliopsida; Fabales; Fabaceae.